RNAcentral lists this ribosomal RNA (413 nucleotides) under uncultured bacterium. RNAcentral's name for it is "bacterial SSU rRNA". It matches the Rfam family "Bacterial small subunit ribosomal RNA", at positions 356 to 784 of the family's 1533-position model. The record is from RNAcentral.
UGGGAAUCUUGCACAAUGGGCGAAAGCCUGAUGCAGCAACGCCGCGUGCGGGAAGACAGCCCUAGGGUUGUAAACCGCUUUCAGCAGGGAAGAAACUGACGGUACCUGCAGAAGAAGAUGCGGCCAACUACGUGCCAGCAGCCGCGGUGACACGUAGGCAUCAAGCGUUAUCCGGAUUUAUUGGGCGUAAAGAGCUCGUAGGCGGUUCGGUAAGUCGGGUGUGAAAACUCUGGGCUCAACCCAGAGAGGCCACUCGAUACUGCUGUGACUAGAGUGCGGUAGGGGAGCGGGGAAUUCCUGGUGUGAGCGGUAGAAUGCGCAGAUAUCAGGAGGAACACCAGUGGCGAAGGCGCCGCUCUGGGCCGUAACUGACGCUGAGGAGCGAAAGCAUGGGUAGCAAACAGGAUUAGAUA